This 663-nucleotide ribosomal RNA is filed under the name crenarchaeote SCGC AAA160-J20. RNAcentral's name for it is "bacterial SSU rRNA". It matches the Rfam family "Archaeal small subunit ribosomal RNA", at positions 150 to 814 of the family's 1478-position model. The record is from RNAcentral. Lineage: Archaea; Thermoproteati; Thermoproteota.
UGCCCGAUAGAACACUAUACCUGGAAUGGUUUGUGUUCCAAAUGAUUUAUCGCCAUAGGAUGGGACUGCGGCCUAUCAGUUUGUUGGUGAGGUAAUGGCCCACCAAGACUAUUACAGGUACGGGCUCUGAGAGGAGUAGCCCGGAGAUGGGUACUGAGACACGGACCCAGGCCCUAUGGGGCGCAGCAGGCGAGAAAACUUUGCAAUGUGCGAAAGCACGACAAGGUUAAUCCGAGUGAUUUGUGCUAAACGAAUCUUUUGUUAGUCCUAGAAACACUAACGAAUAAGGGGUGGGCAAGUUCUGGUGUCAGCCGCCGCGGUAAAACCAGCACCUCAAGUGGUCAGGAUGAUUAUUGGGCCUAAAGCAUCCGUAGCCGGCUCUGUAAGUUUUCGGUUAAAUCUGUACGCUUAACGUACAGGCUGCCGGGAAUACUGCAAAGCUAGGGAGUGGGAGAGGUAGACGGUACUCGGUAGGAAGUGGUAAAAUGCUUUGAUCUAUCGAUGACCACCUGUGGCGAAGGCGGUCUACCAGAACACGUCCGACGGUGAGGGAUGAAAGCUGGGGGAGCAAACCGGAUUAGAUACCCGGGUAGUCCCAGCUGUAAACUAUGCAAACUCAGUGAUGCAUUGGCUUGUGGCCAAUGCAGUGCUGCAGGGAAGCCG